CAGAUAUUAGUUUUAUAAAAAUUUUAAUUUUGGAGAUUAAAGAUAAGAAAUUUCUUAUAUCUGA
This 64-nucleotide transfer RNA is filed under the name Longitarsus dorsalis. RNAcentral describes it as "tRNA-Pro". Lineage: Eukaryota; Metazoa; Arthropoda; Insecta; Coleoptera; Chrysomelidae. The record is from RNAcentral.